UAAAAAGUUACUGUGUCUCAAAUCGGAAUGAAACAUUUUAUAAGUUCCGUUUGUAUGAAAUCAUUAGGAAACAUCUUAAAACUCCGUCCCUGAGCUCAGUUUCGUGACUCUUGUUAAAGGUGUGUGUGAGUGUGUGUGUGAGUGUGUGUGUGAGCAUCAGUGUCCUCUGUUUGAGCAGCACGCCGGAGGGCUGCGCCUGCACUUUACCGCAGAACGUGGCCAUGUUUACCGUAGCGGCCGAGAGGCUCCAGCUCUCUUUGCUUUUCCUCAUUUGUGUCACUUUGGCCCAGCAGCAAUGUGAUAUGACCGCUGUGGUCGGGGACACGGUGACCAUCCCACUGGGGGGGGGGUCCACACCCCAAGGACCUCAAGAACCUGGUGUGGAAGCACGAAACCGGGACGGGAUCUUUGACGGCGUUCCGGAGGAGCGGAGGACGGGUCUCCAGAGGCACCGGACGAGAUGUGACCGGGGACGGAUCCCUCGUCCUGCGCGACGUCCAGAUGUCCCACUCAGGACAGUAUUCUGCUCGUGUGGCCAACACUGAUGGAGUUCGACCCGUGACGGUGACCCUGUGUGUGACGAAACCAGUCUAUGGACUACUGGGAGCAGACGUGGAACUGGACCCAGAUGUGAGCGAGACCCUUUUCGACAUCUCAUGGCAGAGAGGACGCUAUUUUGUAGCCAUGUGGAACAGGGAUAUUGCUGAACAUGAUUAUUAUGGCAGAUGUGAGACCGGCGAGCAGUGUGACCUAAAUAACUCUACUGGGGUGUUGGUAAUGAAAGGGUUAAAGGCAGAAGAUGAAGGACGGUACCUUGCUAAAAUCAACAGGAAAACGCCUCUAAUGGGACUUGACCUGAUCCCACUGAGUAAGUAGCCGCCAUUGAUUGAUUGAUUGAUCGAUCCAGUAA
Molecule: long non-coding RNA, 910 nt
Organism: Scleropages formosus (Asian bonytongue)
Lineage: Eukaryota; Metazoa; Chordata; Actinopteri; Osteoglossiformes; Osteoglossidae
Exons: 3
Source: RefSeq, a predicted model, not a curated record